Molecule: ribosomal RNA, 440 nt
Filed under: uncultured bacterium
Lineage: Bacteria
Description: partial 16S ribosomal RNA
Rfam family: Bacterial small subunit ribosomal RNA
Source: RNAcentral
CCUACGGGUGGCAGCAGUGGGGAAUAUUGCACAAUGGGGGAAACCCUGAUGCAGCGACGCCGCGUGAGUGAAGAAGUAAUUCGUUACGUAAAGCUCUAUCAGUAGGGAAGAAAAUGACGGUACCUGAGUAAGAAGCCCCGGCUAUUUAGGGGCCAGCGGCGGCGGUAAUACGUAGGGGGCAAGCGUAAUCCGGAUUUACUGGGUGUAAAGGGAGCGUAGACGGUGCGCCAAGUGUGGAGUGAAAUGCAGCAGUUUAACUGCGGAAUUGCUUUGGAAACUGGCGAACUAGAGUACGGGAGAGGUAAGCGGAAUUCCGGGUGUAGCGGUGAAAUGCGUAGAUAUUAGGAAGAACACCGAUGGAGAAGGCAGCUUACUGGACCGUAACUGACGUUGAGGCUCGAAAGCGUGGGGAGCAAACAGGAUUAGAUACCCUUGUAGUC